Lynx canadensis (Canada lynx) is the source of this 444-nucleotide long non-coding RNA. RefSeq lists it as uncharacterized. The record is from RefSeq and is a predicted model, not a curated record. The transcript has 6 exons. Lineage: Eukaryota; Metazoa; Chordata; Mammalia; Carnivora; Felidae.
CGGAGACUGCAGUACGUAGGAAAAUAGCGGUUGAGAGCCCCAAGGAGAUGGAAGAGGCAGCUACUCGUGGAUGUGUUCCAACAAAAUCCAGGAAAUAGGAGGAUAUGAGAACCAGAAAAAUGUAGGUUCAGCUUAGAGCAUCAGGUGGCCAGUGGAAGAGAAAAUGAGAGGGAGCUCAAACAAGAAAAGCAAGAUGAUUAAGUUGGUAAUGGAAGGACCAUGGCAACAGAGAAAAGGAAGAAGCUAAUUACGGAAACUGUUAGGACUCGCAUUUUGCAUGGAUUCCAGCUAAAAAAGACCACGUGAGCUAGAACUUGUCUGUGAUGCAUGAAGGAAAUUAUGCUGGAGUUUUCUGGAAGAAUAUUCCUCCUUGAUAAAGGGAAAAAGGAGGUCCUAGAAUUGUCAAUCACAUCAAAAAGAGCUUGAUAAGCACCAAUCUCUUUG